This 824-nucleotide ribosomal RNA is filed under the name Mycobacterium sp. Its description in RNAcentral is "bacterial SSU rRNA". It matches the Rfam family "Bacterial small subunit ribosomal RNA", at positions 107 to 928 of the family's 1533-position model. The record is from RNAcentral. Lineage: Bacteria; Bacillati; Actinomycetota; Actinomycetes; Mycobacteriales; Mycobacteriaceae.
UGAGUAACACGUGGGCAAUCUGCCCUGCACUUCGGGAUAAGCCUGGGAAACUGGGUCUAAUACCGGAUAGGACCUUUAGACGCAUGUCUUUUGGUGGAAAGCUUUUGCGGUGUGGGAUGGGCCCGCGGCCUAUCAGCUUGUUGGUGGGGUGAUGGCCUACCAAGGCGACGACGGGUAGCCGGCCUGAGAGGGUGUCCGGCCACACUGGGACUGAGAUACGGCCCAGACUCCUACGGGAGGCAGCAGUGGGGAAUAUUGCACAAUGGGCGCAAGCCUGAUGCAGCGACGCCGCGUGGGGGAUGACGGCCUUCGGGUUGUAAACCUCUUUCACCAUCGACGAAGGUUCGGGUUUUCUCGGAUUGACGGUAGGUGGAGAAGAAGCACCGGCCAACUACGUGCCAGCAGCCGCGGUAAUACGUAGGGUGCGAGCGUUGUCCGGAAUUACUGGGCGUAAAGAGCUCGUAGGUGGUUUGUCGCGUUGUUCGUGAAAUCUCACGGCUUAACUGUGAGCGUGCGGGCGAUACGGGCAGACUAGAGUACUGCAGGGGAGACUGGAAUUCCUGGUGUAGCGGUGGAAUGCGCAGAUAUCAGGAGGAACACCGGUGGCGAAGGCGGGUCUCUGGGCAGUAACUGACGCUGAGGAGCGAAAGCGUGGGGAGCGAACAGGAUUAGAUACCCUGGUAGUCCACGCCGUAAACGGUGGGUACUAGGUGUGGGUUUCCUUCCUUGGGAUCCGUGCCGUAGCUAACGCAUUAAGUACCCCGCCUGGGGGAGUACGGCCGCAAGGCUAAAACUCAAAAGGAAUUGACGGGGGGCCCGCACAA